UACGGAGGGGGCUAGCGUUGUUCGGAAUUACUGGGCGUAAAGCGCACGUAGGCGGCUUUGUAAGUUAGAGGUGAAAGCCUGGUGCUCAACACCAGAACUGCCUUUAAGACUGCAUCGCUUGAAUCAUGGAGAGGCGGGUGGAAUUCCGAGUGUAGAGGUGAAAUUCGUAGAUAUUGGGAAGAACACCAGUGGCGAAGGCGGCUCUCUGGCCCGGACCUGACGCUGAGGCGCGAAAGCGUGGGGAGCAAACAGG
RNAcentral lists this ribosomal RNA (253 nucleotides) under uncultured bacterium. Its description in RNAcentral is "partial 16S ribosomal RNA". It matches the Rfam family "Bacterial small subunit ribosomal RNA", at positions 524 to 776 of the family's 1533-position model. The record is from RNAcentral.